This 629-nucleotide long non-coding RNA is filed under the name Sorghum bicolor (sorghum). RNAcentral describes it as "long non-coding RNA (SBIC_LNC012815)". Lineage: Eukaryota; Viridiplantae; Streptophyta; Magnoliopsida; Poales; Poaceae. The record is from RNAcentral.
AAGUCCCUGCAUCGGGGUCUCCUCCGAUUUCUCAGGUUCUACCUCGUUCUCCUGUGAGCCUAUAUGAUGCAUAUGCACAAAUAAGUGGAAGUGCAGGAUGAUCAUGAUAUGAUGCUUAAUGAGUAUGUGCAGAUCUACUCCUCGGUACAGAAGAGUCGUGAAGGAUGAAACAAGAAACUAUUACGACUAGGUAGUCAACAUCAUCCAAGAACAUGUAACCCAAACAAGUUAUCUAUUGCAUUCUCUUCUACAAGCUACUACUAAACCAGCAAGUUAUCAUAUUGCUUCAAAGAUACACCAAACAUAUUACAUUUUAUCCAUUUCAUGUAUAGCAAGAGUUUAUUUAUUUAUUUAUUUUUUUUUAUCAGGCUUACAACACUAGCAUAUACUUCUGCACUUAAUUAAAUUCUACAAAAAUUACAACAUGACACAGGUUAUCUAUAAAGUCUACUACCAAAUUUUCAUUUCAUUUAGGCAGAUAGCAUGGCCCACACAAAAAUCACAAUUUUAUUAAUAUAGUUAAGGGAAAAUACCCUACUAGUGUCAAAGUGUCAAAAAACAGAUUUCAUAUUUUUAUAGAUUACUUGUUAACAUAAGAAAGACUCACAAAAAUUUCUAGAAUAAGUGCA